This 1636-nucleotide long non-coding RNA is filed under the name Homo sapiens (human). Its description in RNAcentral is "HSALNT0291376". Lineage: Eukaryota; Metazoa; Chordata; Mammalia; Primates; Hominidae. The record is from RNAcentral.
CAUUCUCCCACCUUAGGCUCCCAUGUAGCUGGCACUACAGAAAUGAGACCCUUGUCAUUCUUAGAGUCCUUUGUUGAAUGGAAGAAGAAAUGGAAUAAUGCCGUAUCCACCUGAUGGGGACAUCACCUCCUACCUGGAUGGUCAGAGGACUCCUAUCCAUCCCACUGUUCCUUCUGGUUUGGGGCCCAGAGUCUUCCACCAAAGCCUGAACAUGCUUCUACUCCCAGGGCCUCCACAUUCCACGGAUGGCUGAUGGAGAAGAAUCCCAGGUCAUCUGUGGACACCUCUCCUUCUGUAUCCCCAGAACAUGAUGUGCACAGGUGCAUAAAGGAAAUUUAAAUUUUAUGCCCAGGGGCUCCCACUCUCACCCUCCUGAGCAGAAGCUGGGGAUCCUCUGAGCUGCUGUCCCUGAUGUUAGAGAGCCCUUAUCCCUGAGACCAAUGCCAGUCAUCAAAUACAUCUCAUAGGAUGUCUGCACAAAAUCAGCUGCCCCAAGCCCCUUGCCUCCCUCCUCCUGGCUUCUCUGAUGCAUCCCCCACAGGAGAUCCAGGAGGACAAGACCAGCCAGAGAUCAACCAUCCAGGCCCCAAGGCUUUGGGGACAUCAUCUCAGAGGAAGUGUCAAUCCUAGCCUACUCCUGUCCCAUCAAGCUGUCUGUCAGGAGUUAUUGACUUAUGUCUUAGGACAGGACCUUGAACCAGUCUGCCUCAGUGUCUAGUGUGCUGGGCUGAACCAGACCCAACCUCCUCAAUGCCUCUGCCCAGAACUAGGACUUGCUUUCCUGUUGGACCUGGUCCUGAAGCUCACUGCUUUGGUGGGACCCUGAUCCACCUUCCUGUUCCUCCUCUCAUUUCAUUAUCAUCAUAUCUGCAGCAGGUACUCUGCAAAAAGAUAGUUCUCCAUUUUUCAGAUGAACAAACUGAAGUUGAGAGCAGGGAAGUAGCUUGUCUAAGGACAGCAGACGUUUCCCUUCUGUUCAGAGGCUGUGCUCUUCUGGGAUUCCAGCCAUCAGUUCAGCUGUAACUUGCUUUUCUGUCUUUAAUAAACCUUUUGUUUUGGAAUAAUUCUAGAUUUACAAAGAAAGUUACAAGGACAGCAAAGAAAGUUCCCUUAUACCCCUCACUCAAUGUCUCCACUGUUGACAUUUUCUGUUACCAUGGUACCUUGGUCAAAACUGAGAAUCUGACAUUGUAUACUUGAUUUUUGAAUCAAGAAAUUUUUUUUCCCUCAGGAAUGAGCUCCAAAUUUCUCUCUUCUGCAUCCAAAAGUCCAGUGAGGAGUGUGGAUGCGUGUAAUGUGGCCCCUUCAUCACAUCCACCCCGUGCGUUCCUACCUUAUCCAGUGUCCCCAACCCCAAAAAACAGAAGGACCAUCCAAGGAGGACCAGCUUCAGGCCCAGAGACUCAGAUUCCUAGUCAGCAUCCUUCAGGUACCUCACUCAUCAAGCUCCUCUUUCCAUAAGGCUUCAAAGAUACGACUUGCCCACAAACACACUCCUACCCACUAACCUCUAAACUAACUCCAUCUUUAAUUCUUGUGGACACCCACCCAAUAUCAACUCCAUCCUCAAAGCUGUCAAUAAGAUCCAAUGAAGCAAAUAUUUAUUGAUAACACAGAAAUAAAUCCAAUCCUGUCC